Passer domesticus (house sparrow) is the source of this 4115-nucleotide long non-coding RNA. RefSeq lists it as uncharacterized. NCBI's taxonomy places the organism in Eukaryota, Metazoa, Chordata, Aves, Passeriformes, Passeridae. The transcript has 8 exons. The record is from RefSeq and is a predicted model, not a curated record.
GUCAUAAACUUACGAGAGAGGGUGCUGGAAAUAAUCCAUGGACAUCUUGUUCUUAUUAGACAUGGGCUAAGUCAUUCUGACAGAUUUCAAACCUGCUGAAAUAUUGUUCAUUAAAAUCUUGAUGUUGAUUUCAGCAUUAUUGGGAGCACAUUUUGCUUAUAUCUUUAAGCAUGACUAUCAAAAAGAGACAAUACAAGUAUAUAUGAUGAAAAACAAUGUGAGAAAAGAGUCAGAGAGCUGACAGUGAGAAAAAGAGACACACUGGGAAAUCAGCAGAGAAAAAAAAUCCCAAGUUUUGUAGUUAUGUCUGUUUAGGACUGAGCCUGUGCCAAACCUUGGACUUGGAGGCUGUUCUGUCCUUAAUACAUUGCACAUGAUUGUCUGUAGCUAGAAAAACAUUUUUCGUGGUUUAAAAAAAAUUGAAUUAUCCUUAAAUGAAAUAACAUAAACUAUGAGUUUAAAUGACAGAGUAAAAAGAAAUUAAAUUCAUUUUGUAAGUGCUCAGGGAAUUUAAAAAUCCCUUAGGUUCACAAAACCUCAAAAUCCAUAAGGUUCAUGUAUUCCCAGAGUAGGACACCCAAUGAAGUUAAUGAAAUUUAAUUAAGUUUUCAUGACUUUUUCUAUUUAGCUAACAGAUUCUCCUUUCAAGACAUGUUUGUGUUAAGGACAAGAUCAAAAAUAUCCAUUGACAGUUCCUGUGCAAUCUAGAUAGAUGUUAGCUAAGAAGAGAGGUUAUAAAACCUGGGUAACUUUCAAAGGUACAAGAUCAUGUGCAGUUGAGUAUUACUACGAAUGUUUAUUUCAGCAGCUAUAUUGUUCCAUGCUCAUUUGCUUUUAGGAUCUGAAUUUUUGUCCAUUGGAAGGAUUUAUUGUGUCUAAGCUCCAGAGAGGGUGAUCUUUAUGGUAUUCCUUGUAAUAAAAUUAUCUCCUGCUGGCUGCCUACCUUGGACUGCUUCUGAGCACAGUGGAGCUGUCUCUAAGUGCUACCCUCAAAAGGCUGGUGGCACUCAAACCUGCAGCUGCCAUGUGUCCUCUGGCUGUACUAGACAGAGCAAAUCACUCUAACUGCACCUCAGGGAUGCCAUAGAAGCUGGAGCUGUGUGGGUGCUGGUCCCUGUGCCACUGACGUCCUGUGUGGUGCUUGUCAGAGGGAACUUUUCAGAUGGAACUCGUCUUUAGAUCUGUGUAAUGAAGUGCAUUAAUGUAGCCUGGAAAUGGAGCUCGUUUCUCCUGGGAGGCUCUGGUACAUUUGGAAGGAUACUGUGCUCCUUUACUGGUGUGUUGCUUCUCUGCCCAGCUGAGACCAGAGUGAGAGUGGCAAUGAUGAUGGCAGGGAGACAAUUUGAGGUGUAUAACCUCACAUUGGAGCUCCUCCUUCUGUGUGUGCAAAGGAACAGGGGCUAAAAUUCAUUUCUCAUUGGAGUAAACUAAGAAGGUCACAUCAUUGGAUGGAACAGAAUCCCAUGUCAGCAAUGUAUUACCUGCCUUGGUGUGUGUGGAGUAAAGGCAAUGGAUUUCCUUGCUAUGGGGUUAACACCCUACAAAGUGGGCAGAUUAGGAUUAAAGGAUUCUCCUCCAGCCAGAUCAUACUGAGGAAAUGAAAUACAUUGUUCUGGAGGAAUAUAUUUGUCCUUGGAAAUCCAGGUCUGCAGUAAAAGCAGUUGAAGGUAACCAAGAGAAAACUGAUCAUGAGACUGUACUGAGAGGAUGGUCUUUCUCUUGGCUAUAUGCUCCCACUGGACAUCUUCAAGGAAUUGAAUGCUCAGAAAACUAUCAGAACCACAACAACAAAAGCUAAGUGAUUUCAAUUUUCUUGGGGUAUAGCUUUCCCAUAUUUGCAAUCUGCAUGAAUAAUUGAGCCAGUAUAAGAGGCAGGGCAGGGACUUGCUCUUUUGGCAGCUGCUCAACUCCACUUGGCUCAGCCCUGAUGAGAAGCAGAAGUCACAUUUGCUAGUAGGAUCUGGCUGCCAUUUAAUAUCUGUUGGUAUGUUAGGGAUCUGACUCGUGUUUUCUUGACAAGCAGCUAAAAUGGGUUAAAGUAUGUUACUCCCUCAGGCACACAUCAGCUCUUUUGCAGCUGGGGUCAGGACGCCACGGUUUCGCUGGCAUGCUGCAGGCACAGUAUGCUCUGCUCCUGGACAACAACCUGUGGCAGUGGGGAGGAGUGAAGGCCUAGAGGGGAAACACCUCCAGGUGUCACAGACAGAUUUGCAAAAGCUUAUCUCCCAAAACCCUCUGUGGGGUCAGGGACUUGGCAUGUCACCAAGCGGGGCAGUGAUGUGGGGCAAGGGGCCCAGGCUUUAAGCACCAGGGUUGCUGUCAGCAGCUGCCUCAUGGCAGCUCCAAGAGCACUGCAAGGACCCUGCCCUGGCUUUGCGGGCUGCUUAACUUCUGUAUCUCAUUUUGCCCAGCAGUGUAAUGUGAAUGGAUAAGUGCACUGGGUCCCUUUCAGGCUCACAAUUCAAGAGGAGUCUUUUUUCUUUGGCUAUCACUUCUAUCUUCCUAUCUCCUCCCCAGCAGCCACUUCUCCAAGAAGUAAUAACUCAGAUCUUUUAGUUCCUUAUCCUAGCCAAAUGCUUUGAUCAAUUUAGUAACUCUCUAAACAUUUUCAAACAUGUUUCUAGUCUUUCCACCUUGAAUGAGCCUCUCAGAAAAAUGUAAACCAUUUUUUGCUUUCAGCAGAUUAUUUCUUGCUCUUCAGCUCUUCUGUGGUUUUCUUUUCUUUCUUUACUUUUUUUUUUCUUUUAAAAAUACUUACACAAUUUUACAUAAAAACUAGACUGACAUUUUAUUUCUGGCACAGGACCCAAUCAAAUCCCCACUACAGUUUCUGUUGGGUUUAGAGCAACAAUCUCUGUUUGAAAACUUAUAAUGCUCCUUACUUAGGAUAACUGCUGAUACACUCUCCCUCAGUGCUUCUCUUGUCAUUUGUAGAUGGCCACAAGUGUGAGACUAUUUUGCCUACCUGAGCUCCUAGAGCAGCACUAUGAGUCUGGAAAGAAAAUUGAUGUUGUUGUGACUGCUGGUCAAUAUCUGCUACUGCUUGUGUCCACUUGCAGUUUGGACUCCAGCAGCCAUCAUACUGGUUGUUAUUAAUGCUCCAGUCUGUUCUCAGACCUGGUUCCGUUGCAAAACACAUACAAGAAGAAAUAUGCAAGGAACAUUUAGCUCUGUUAAAAUAGACCUGCUGUUUUACUGCUACAUUUCUUUUUCUUCUCUACUGGUUUCCCUCUCCUUCAUCCUCUUAGUGUAGCAUAUUUGUGGGUGCACACAGUAGUUCAUUGCAAAAUAUGCUGGAUUUAAAGCAAAACAGAGAAAAGCUCCCUGAACCGAAAUUGCUAUUUUAAAGCUGCAGCAUUAACUUUGGCCAUGAUCCACCCUGGAGACUUUCCCUGGCAGAGAGUGUGAUGCACACAUCUCAGUUUGGAAUUGCUCUUUCGGACACAGAUCCCCGCAAGAAUAGCAGGAACAUGAUAGGCCAAGUCAGGCUAGGCAGCAAAGCCCACUGCAGUCCAGUGAAGACAAUCUGUCCAUUCACCUCUUAUGGACUUUUCCGGGGCUGUCUGCAUGUAAGGGGGCGGGGAAGAGAAGGGGACAAGAGGACAGAAAUGUAGUUGGGGUUUUAAAUUGUUCUGUUUCUGAAGGAUUCAAGUCAUGGAUGUGAAACAGUUCAAGCUUCCAUUGUGGACAAUUAUUAUCUUUCACAUGUUCUUUAUGCUGUGCUUCACUAAAAACUUGUUUCAUUGUUGGACUGUGUUGAACUUUACUGGAAAAAUUCCUGCUCUUCAUUUUCUGGCCUGAUCCAGCUGACUUCUAAGCUAAAAGAAAUUUGCUAGAUUUAGAAGUACUGCCAGUACUUGGUAUUCUGCCAGCCACGUGCAUUUUGAGGAAUCCUUGGAGACGCCAGGUAAUAACUAGUACAGGUGGAGUGGUCCCAGGGGCUUCCCAAAGAGGAGCUGCUGGCACAGCCCCAAGUGACCAGUAAUUCAUACAAUCCAUGGUGUGUUGGCUGCCUCCAUCUCAUGGGAUUGUGUCUGCUCUCUCACUGGCAAGCUGAAACUUUUCAUGAAGACUUGAAUGAGUCCCUUGGGGAUUGGACCUUUCUGAAAAUAUAU